This 932-nucleotide ribosomal RNA is filed under the name uncultured archaeon. RNAcentral's name for it is "bacterial SSU rRNA". It matches the Rfam family "Archaeal small subunit ribosomal RNA", at positions 1 to 909 of the family's 1478-position model. The record is from RNAcentral.
UUCCGGUUGAUCCUGCCGGACCCCACUGCUAUCGGGGUGGGACUAAAACAUGCGAGUCGAGUGCCUUCAAGCUAUGGUGAAGGCGCGGCGAACGGCUCAGUAACACGUGGCUAACCUACCCUUUGGACGGGGACAACCCCGGGAAACUGGGCCUAAUCCCCGAUAGAUGAGAAGUCCUGGAAUGGUUUCUCAUCUAAAAGGUGUUUAGAGCAUGCUUCUAGGCGUCGCCAAAGGAUGGGGCCGCGGCCGAUCAGGUUGUUGGUGAGGUAACGGCUCACCAAGCCUAUAACCGGUACGGGCCGUGAGAGCGGGAGCCCGGAGAUGGGCACUGAGAUAAGGGCCCAGGCCCUACGGGGCGCAGCAGUUGCGAAAACUCCGCAAUGCGCGAAAGCGUGACGGGGCUACCCCGAGUGCCGUCCGCUGAGGACGGCUUUUCCACGGUGUAAGGAGCCGUGGGAAUAAGGAGAGGGCAAGACUGGUGUCAGCCGCCGCGGUAAUACCAGCUCUCCGAGUGGUGGGGACGAUUAUUGGGCUUAAAGCGUUCGUAGCCGGUCCGGCAAGUCUUCCGUUAAAUCCAGCGAUCUAAUCGUUGGACUGCGGGAGAUACUGUUGGGCUAGGGGGCGGGAGAAGCCGACGGUAUUCUCGGGGUAGGGGUGAAAUCCUAUAAUCCCGGGAAGACCACCAGUGGCGAAGGCGGUCGGCUAGAACGCGCCCGACGGUGAGGGACGAAAGCUGGGGGAGCGAACCGGAUUAGAUACCCGGGUAGUCCCAGCCGUAAACGAUGCGGGCUAGGUGUUGGGGCGGCCACGAGCCGCUUCAGUGCCGCACGGAAGCAAUUAAGCCCGCCGCCUGGGGAGUACGGCCGCAAGGCUGAAACUUAAAGGAAUUGGCGGGGGAGCACCACAAGGCGUGAAGCUUGCGGUUUAAUUGG